Molecule: long non-coding RNA, 793 nt
Organism: Panthera uncia (snow leopard)
Lineage: Eukaryota; Metazoa; Chordata; Mammalia; Carnivora; Felidae
Exons: 3
Source: RefSeq, a predicted model, not a curated record
GCCGCGGCCAAGCUGUAGACCAGGAAGAAGCGGAACUGGAAGCGGAUCCUGUCGCCGGGGGCCGCCGCCCGCAUCCAGAGCCCGCAGUCGGUGUCCGGGGCCACGAAGUAGAACCUGCGCGAGGCGGCGUGCGAGCGCAGCAGCAGCCCGUCCCCCUGCCACGUCUGCCCGCAGAGGUCCACCAGGUCGGCUGCAGGGAAAAGCACGGAUUCGGGAACCGCGCGGCCUGGUUCUGAGCCCUGCCCGCUGUGUGACCCCCAAAGCAGAUGCAGCCAGGGCAGCUGCCCCCAACAGGAGCAGCCUUUGGGGCAGCUGCGGGAGACAAGCCUCCAUCCAGGCCCUGCUGUGCCCAGCAGUGGGGCAGACCUGCAGAAUCUUCGGUUUGGGGUCUUUGGGGAGACCAGGUUGUGGGGACCUGGCUGGCAGGACACGAGGAGCAAGGGAGAGGGCCCAGGAUGAAGGCUGGCAAAACUUCAGCUGUGAUGCUGUGAUUUAUAAAAAGCAAUACAUAUUUGGGGGGUGCCUGGCUGGCUCCAUCGGUUAAGCAUCCGACUUCGGCUCAGGUCAUGAUCCUGCGGUUUGUGAGUCCGAACCCCACGUUUGUCAGCAGGUUCUCGUGAGUCCAAACCCCGCAUCUGCAGCCUGGAGCCCAGUGCAGAUCCUCUGUCCCUCCUCCCCGCACCCCCCACCCUUACCACUCUGUGCACCUCCCCCGUUCACUCUCGCUUUCUCUCAAAAAUAAACGUUAAAAAAAUAAAUACAUACAUGUUGGUCUUCCUUCAUUCUUCCCAGA